UAGACCGCCUGGGGAGUACGGCCGCAAGGUUAAAACUCAAAUGAAUUGACGGGGGCCCGCACAAGCGGUGGAGCAUGUGGUUUAAUUCGAUGCAACGCGAAGAACCUUACCUGGUCUUGACAUCCACAGAAUUCUGCAGAGAUGCGGAAGUGCCUUCGGGAACUGUGAGACAGGUGCUGCAUGGCUGUCGUCAGCUCGUGUUGUGAAAUGUUGGGUUAAGUCCCGCAACGAGCGCAACCCUUAUCCUUUGUUGCCAGCGAUUAGGUCGGGAACUCAAAGGAGACUGCCAGUGAUAAACUGGAGGAAGGUGGGGAUGACGUCAAGUCAUCAUGGCCCUUACGACCAGGGCUACACACGUGCUACAAUGGCGCAUACAAAGAGAAGCGACCUCGCGAGAGCAAGCGGACCUCAUAAAGUGCGUCGUAGUCCGGAUUGGAGUCUGCAACUCGACUCCAUGAAGUCGGAAUCGCUAGUAAUCGUGGAUCAGAAUGCCACGGUGAAUACGUUCCCGGGCCUUGUACACACCGCCCGUCACACCAUGGGAGUGGGUUGCAAAAGAAGUAGGUAGCUUAACCUUCGGGAGGGCGCUUACCACUUUGUGAUUCAUGACUGGGGUGAAGUCGUAACAAGGUAACCGUAGGGGAACCUGCGGUUGGAUCACCUCCUUACCUUAAAGAA
Molecule: ribosomal RNA, 678 nt
Filed under: Salmonella enterica subsp. enterica serovar Lubbock
Lineage: Bacteria; Pseudomonadati; Pseudomonadota; Gammaproteobacteria; Enterobacterales; Enterobacteriaceae
Description: bacterial SSU rRNA
Rfam family: Bacterial small subunit ribosomal RNA
Source: RNAcentral